This 504-nucleotide ribosomal RNA is filed under the name uncultured bacterium. RNAcentral describes it as "bacterial SSU rRNA". It matches the Rfam family "Bacterial small subunit ribosomal RNA", at positions 24 to 518 of the family's 1533-position model. The record is from RNAcentral.
UCAGGAUGAACGCUAGCGACAGGCCUAACACAUGCAAGUCGAGGGGCAGCACAAGGAGUAAUCUGAGGUGGCGACCGGCGCACGGGUGAGUAACACGUAUGGCAACCUAGGCUGUAAAGAGGGGGAAUAACCCGGAGAAAUCCGGACUAAUACCGCAUAAUACUUAGAAUCCGCAUGGAUUUAGUUAAACAUUUAUGGCUUACAGAUGGGCAUGCGUAUGAUUAGCUGGUUGGAGAGGUAACGGCUCCCCAAGGCAACGAUCAUUAGGGGUUCUGAGAGGAAGGUCCCCCACACUGGUACUGAGACACGGACCAGACUCCUACGGGAGGCAGCAGUGAGGAAUAUUGGUCAAUGGACGCAAGUCUGAACCAGACCCAAGUCGCGUGAAGGAAGAAUGUCCUAUGGAUUGUAAACUUCUUUUGAAGGGGAAUAAAGUACGGUACGUGUACCGUUUUGUAUGUACCCUUCGAAUAAGGAUACGGCUAACUCCGUGCCAGCCGCGGC